AAUGCUUCAAUAAACAUAUUGUGGUGGUUAUUAUGUAUUCAAGAAUAUCAAGUCAUGUUAGUUUCCUUCUAUCGAGUCUUGGGGGUACUUGUACCCAAAAUAUUAGCUGUGUGCCUAGAUCCAUGUCAUGUUUUCAUGAUACUCUUAGUCAAGCUAUGAACUCUUAGACUUCAUAUAGUCUUAUAACUCAGGAAAAAUCUUCAUGAUCUCAUGACUCAGUCAGU
This 224-nucleotide long non-coding RNA is filed under the name Capsicum annuum. RNAcentral's name for it is "long non-coding RNA (CANN_LNC019944)". The record is from RNAcentral. Lineage: Eukaryota; Viridiplantae; Streptophyta; Magnoliopsida; Solanales; Solanaceae.